This 402-nucleotide ribosomal RNA is filed under the name Escherichia coli. RNAcentral describes it as "partial 23S ribosomal RNA". It matches the Rfam family "Bacterial large subunit ribosomal RNA", at positions 412 to 817 of the family's 2925-position model. The record is from RNAcentral. Lineage: Bacteria; Pseudomonadati; Pseudomonadota; Gammaproteobacteria; Enterobacterales; Enterobacteriaceae.
GUAGGGCGGGACACGUGGUAUCCUGUCUGAAUAUGGGGGGACCAUCCUCCAAGGCUAAAUACUCCUGACUGACCGAUAGUGAACCAGUACCGUGAGGGAAAGGCGAAAAGAACCCCGGCGAGGGGAGUGAAAAAGAACCUGAAACCGUGUACGUACAAGCAGUGGGAGCCUCUUUAUGGGGUGACUGCGUACCUUUUGUAUAAUGGGUCAGCGACUUAUAUUCUGUAGCAAGGUUAACCGAAUAGGGGAGCCGAAGGGAAACCGAGUCUUAACUGGGCGUUAAGUUGCAGGGUAUAGACCCGAAACCCGGUGAUCUAGCCAUGGGCAGGUUGAAGGUUGGGUAACACUAACUGGAGGACCGAACCGACUAAUGUUGAAAAAUUAGCGGAUGACUUGUGGCUG